AAGGAAAUGUACAAGAAAUUACAAGGUACUUUCCUAAUAGUGCAAUGGAAGGGACUGAUUUGUAAUAUUUUGGCUCCAGCAAUUAGGUAAUCUCUUAUUCUUAGGCUGACCAUACCGAAAAGAUUCUAUACCAAUGACAGGCUUCACAAAUGAAGUACAAAUGUUAAUUUAAAUUACAGCUUGCGUAAUGGAGUUGUAGAUAGUCAUGGACAUUUAUUUUUUGAGUGCUGCUGCUUCUCAAAGAGACGUUUAUGGACAAAGCUGUUGAGUUGGCAAGGGGCUGCAAGGUCAGUAUUCUGUUGGUAGGAUAAAAUCACUUGGACGUGCUCUCAUGCUAGUGGAAGUUCAACUACUACUCACAUUUUAAGAAUGAGUCUACUAGGUUGCAUCAAUCAAAUAUUCAAAUCAAGCUGAAAAAAACAACGAUUUUUUUCAGAAGAAAGUUGCUACAUUAAAGAUAGUGUUAGAGAAAUGAAGUUUUGAUGAUUGACUUAUGAAUGAAACAUGUUAUUCAUGUCGGUCCACACAUGUGAAGCAAGAAUAAGUGUCGAGCAAGACUGAUGAUAAAAUAAUGGUUGAAGUCAGAAGUGGAUAAGCAAGAAAGUUCAGCUAUGCCUUCAACAUUUAUCACAUGCAGAAAAGAGGUUGAAAAGAAGAUAGACACAACACUUGAAGAUUGAGCUAAUAAAGGAAUCCUACCCAGUUAAGGAGACAUAAUGCAACAAGGAGUGUAACUAACUGAUAAAGUCCUAUCGAAGAAAGAAGAUCACAUCAUUUGAAGGACUUUAUCAGAGUUGGCUUAAAUAGAAGAAACGAUUUUCAAAGAGUUUCACUCAAGCACUGAUAAGAAAAGCAUCAAUCAACAAAUUCGUUCAUUAACUGAAGAAGUCAUAAGAAGAACCUGUUCCUUUACUUAGAGAGUCGUAGACUUUAUGAAAUAGGUUGGUUCUAGAUUUGUAAUGAACUUUAAUUCUAGUCUCAGGUAAGUAUAAACUGAGUUAGGAUUAGUAUCUUCAAGUUAGAGAACUCGAAGACUUAAGAACAUUUAUCUUGGGAAGAUUUGUGUUAUUGUAGAAAUAGGAGUUAGAAGUUUAAUUUCUAGUUUACAAGUGUCUUGUAAUUUGUUGAUUGUUGAGGCUUAAGAGUUUCUAGUAAAGUUGGGGUUAAAUCCUGUAGAGGUACAGGUCGUGGUUUUUUAUACCUCUUUGAGUCGGGUGUUUUCCACAUAAAAAUACUGUCUCCUUAUUUACUUUGCAUAAGUGAACCACGUUAGUUUACUUGUUUCACUAAUAGGCAACUAAUAGAGUAAAAUCAGCAGGGCACGCACUCUAACAAGUGGUAUUAGCGCGAGGUUGUCUUAAAUAAGGUUAGCACCUAAGAAAAGAUCACUAUGAUGAAUUUCGCACCUUCUACUGGUCACAACGAAGGUCAGUCAACUACUAGACCUCUACUCUUUGACGGUUCUUACUUCAUCUGGUGGAAAGAUAUGAUGGAAAUAUUUAUUCAAGGAGAAGACUAUGAGCUGUGGGAUAGAAUCACUGAUGGUCCUACUAUUCCAAUGAAGC
RNAcentral lists this long non-coding RNA (1565 nucleotides) under Capsicum annuum. RNAcentral describes it as "long non-coding RNA (CANN_LNC000384)". The record is from RNAcentral. Lineage: Eukaryota; Viridiplantae; Streptophyta; Magnoliopsida; Solanales; Solanaceae.